RNAcentral lists this ribosomal RNA (440 nucleotides) under uncultured bacterium. RNAcentral's name for it is "partial 16S ribosomal RNA". It matches the Rfam family "Bacterial small subunit ribosomal RNA", at positions 338 to 795 of the family's 1533-position model. The record is from RNAcentral.
CCUACGGGUGGCUGCAGUGGGGAAUAUUGCACAAUGGGGGAAACCCUGAUGCAGCAACGCCGCGUGAGUGAUGAAGGAUUUCGGUUUGUAAAGCUCUGUCUGCAGGGAAGAUAAUGACGGUACCUGAGGAAGAAGCCACGGCUAACUACGUGCCAGCAGCCGCGGUAAUACGUAGGGGGCGAGCGUUAUCCGGAUUUACUGGGCGUAAAGGGAGCGUAGGCGGACUUUUAAGUGAGAUGUGAAAUGCCCGGGCUCAACUCCAGUGCUGCAUUUCAAACUGGAAGUCUAGAGUGCAGGAGAGGUGAAUGGAAUUCCUGGUGUAGCGGUGAAAUGCGUAGAGAUUAGGAAGAACACCAGUGGCGAAGGCGAUUUACUGGACUGUAACUGACGUUGAGGCUCGAAAGCGUGGGGAGCAAACAGGAUUAGAUACCCGGGUAGUC